CGGCAGCUCAAGUGGUGGCCACGCUUAUUGGGCUUAAAGCGUCCGUAGUCGGUCGUACAGGUCUUCUGUGAAAUCCUAAAGCUUAACUGUAGGGCUUGCAGAAGAUACUAUACGGCUUGAGGCCGGGAGGGGAGUGGGGUAUUCCAGGGGUACCGGUGAAAUGGUAUAAUCCUUGGAAGACCACCUGUGGCGAAGGCGCCACUCUAGAACGGGCCUGACGAUGAGGGACGAAAGCUAGGGGAGCGAACCGGAUUAGAUACCCGAGUAGUCC
RNAcentral lists this ribosomal RNA (271 nucleotides) under uncultured archaeon. RNAcentral describes it as "partial 16S ribosomal RNA". It matches the Rfam family "Archaeal small subunit ribosomal RNA", at positions 477 to 747 of the family's 1478-position model. The record is from RNAcentral.